RNAcentral lists this ribosomal RNA (156 nucleotides) under Escherichia coli. Its description in RNAcentral is "partial 23S ribosomal RNA". The stretch from base 1 to 139 matches the Rfam family "Bacterial large subunit ribosomal RNA", at positions 2792 to 2925 of the family's 2925-position model. Lineage: Bacteria; Pseudomonadati; Pseudomonadota; Gammaproteobacteria; Enterobacterales; Enterobacteriaceae. The record is from RNAcentral.
ACUUGCCCCGAGAUGAGUUCUCCCUGAGGUUUAGCGUCUCCUGAAGGAACGUUGAAGACGACGACGUUGAUAGGCCGGGUGUGUAAGCGCAGCGAUGCGUUGAGCUAACCGGUACUAAUGAACCGUGAGGCUUAACCUUACAACGCCGAAGCUGUU